CCUUUUUUAUGAAUAGGACCCUCGUGCUCCAGAGGCGGAUCCAAAGGCAGUCGCUUACCUAGGUACUUCGGUGUAGCAUAUAUAGCUGCAUACCUUUUUCACUGUGUCAAAGCCUCUUUACUUUUGAAGAUUCGCCGCCCUUGAAGUCUUGUUGCCGUCGAAGGCUCUCGCCGUCGAAGGUUCUCGCCGUCCAAGGCUCGUCACCGGUGAAGGCUCACCGCCGUCGAAGGCUCGCUGCUGUGGAAGGCUUUGCCGCACUCUGCCGUCGCCGAACUGUCGAAGGUUCUACCACCAUCGGUCGAAGAUUCUGAGAACAGUUCUCCUGUGUAAAUAUGGAACCCUAAGCUACAAAUGUUUUUCCUGUGUUGUUCAAACAUUUUUGAAAUGCAUUUUCAGAUUUAUGUCAUUAAGGUUUGGGGCUGUGCUGCUUGCCUUCUUCUUUUCUUCGUCCACUCUCACAAAGUUUGGAGAGGAUAAGAAGCGAACACUAAGGAAGGUGGUCAAAGAAACUGGUUAGGAAUGAUUGCUGCCCUAUUUGGAUGGAUUAUUCUGUGGAGUUACCCAUAUGAUAAGCCCCGUCUAAUCAUAACCUUCAAGGUCCUUAAUCUAGCCAAAUAACAUUAUCUGAUCCAUAUAUUAAUCCUCACCUACUGCCACAUUGUCUUGUUAUAAUUUAAUUGUUUGAGUUGCAUGGGAGUCAGUUUAAGUCCAAAAGUUUAAAGAAAUAUUUAUUCUUCCUUCAUAGCACUGAAAAGCUUUAAAGAAAUAUUUUAUAGGAAAAAGAAGUCUCAAGAUCAAUAUAUGGGAAAUUUUAAUGAUAUCUAACACUUCUCUUAAUUUCCAGGUGACUUUUAUGUAGCUUAAUUUCUAGUGAUCUGCUUGAUUUUUAUAAUGGACUGCCUUUAAAAUUUUAAGUGUAUGCUAAUACUGUUUGGGUUGUGAGAGCAUUGUAAGUGACAAUACUUUUGUAAAAGUUGUCGUGUGCAUGCAACAGAAACUCCUAUAAACAUAGAGGUAAUUGUUAACCAGUGUUGCUUUCGAGGAAUUAUCUGAAGGGAAUUGGUUUAUAUUUGGUUGUAGAUUAUAGUAAUUCCUUUUAUCCAAGUUCUAGUAAAAUAAUUCUGAAUAUGUACUUGGUGUGUUGAAUUUUGGUAGUUUUUCUUACUGUCACAUGUAAGUACUGCCUAUUAGGCGUGACUAUGUUCGUUGUUUCCUGUAUUUGAGCUUAACAUGUUGCUGUUGAAUUCAAUCUAUAUCAAUACCACUCAAAGGCAAUUUGAAUAGAGUCUAACAUCACUGUUGGACAAUCAUAGUUUUGGUUGCACCAAUCCACAUCAAUUGUUUUGUUCAAGUUUUGUCAGCGUAAUUAUCAAUUUACCUUUCCCCAAGAAAAAAA
Long non-coding RNA from Vigna radiata var. radiata (mung bean), 1396 nucleotides. RefSeq lists it as uncharacterized. Lineage: Eukaryota; Viridiplantae; Streptophyta; Magnoliopsida; Fabales; Fabaceae. The record is from RefSeq and is a predicted model, not a curated record. The transcript has 3 exons.